Molecule: ribosomal RNA, 682 nt
Filed under: uncultured bacterium
Lineage: Bacteria
Description: bacterial SSU rRNA
Rfam family: Bacterial small subunit ribosomal RNA
Source: RNAcentral
CAUGCUUUACACAUGCAAGUCNAANGGCAGCGGGGGCUUCGGCCUGCCGGCGAGUGGCGAACGGGUGAGUAAUGCAUCGGAACGUGCCCAUGUCGUGGGAGAUAACGUAGCGAAAGCUACGCUAAUACCGCAUACGUCCUGAGGGAGAAAGCGGGGGAUCUUUGGACCUCGCGCGAUUGGAGCGGCCGAUGUCGGAUUAGCUAGUAGGUGAGGUAAAGGCUCACCUAGGCGACGAUCCGUAGCGGGUCUGAGAGGAUGAUCCGCCACACUGGGACUGAGACACGGCCCAGACUCCUACGGGAGGCAGCAGUGGGGAAUUUUGGACAAUGGGGGCAACCCUGAUCCAGCCAUGCCGCGUGAGUGAAGAAGGCCUUCGGGUUGUAAAGCUCUUUCGGCCGGGAAGAAAUCGUGGUCUCUAACAUAGGCCAUGGAUGACGGUACCGGACUAAGAAGCACCGGCUAACUACGUGCCAGCAGCCGCGGUAAUACGUAGGGUGCGAGCGUUAAUCGGAAUUACUGGGCGUAAAGCGUGCGCAGGCGGUUUUGUAAGACAGAUGUGAAAUCCCCGGGCUUAACCUGGGAACUGCGUUUGUGACUGCAAGGCUAGAGUACGGCAGAGGGGGGUGGAAUUCCUGGUGUAGCAGUGAAAUGCGUAGAGAUCAGGAGGAACACCGAUGGCGAA